UUUACUUAUUUCUUCCACCUUGUAAAGAACGCCCCUCUACUCUUAUAGCCCCCUCGUCUCUUGCUUAUGGCCAUCUUCAAAAUUUUAAUGCUUGAUUCGAUGUCAUGUUCUCCUUGUUUGGAAUGUACAUCCCGGUUUGCCAUCAUUUGUUGACUUUUGAAAGGGGAUUUCUCAUUUUGAAUUUAUAAGAGAGUGGUAAAGCCAUAUGAUAAGGCUGCUAAAUGUACCAAGUAUGAUACUGAUAUUUGAAGAAACAAGCAAAAACAUUGAAGAUUACUGUCUGCCAGUUAUAAUUGAAGGAGUUCAAAGGGGAGGGAAAACUAGAUAGUCAAACAUUCUAAAGUUAUACUUGAAGGAUGUGGGGAGACCAUGUACUAUAUGCUGCAAUCAACACAAGAUAGAUUUGAUGAAAUCCACGUUCCUUCUAUAUUUUUUUAAGUCACUUUAUUUGUUUUUUGGUUAAAUAAUUUAUUUUACUAGUUGUGAUGUUAA
This is a long non-coding RNA of Helianthus annuus (common sunflower), 492 nucleotides long. RefSeq lists it as uncharacterized. NCBI's taxonomy places the organism in Eukaryota, Viridiplantae, Streptophyta, Magnoliopsida, Asterales, Asteraceae. The record is from RefSeq and is a predicted model, not a curated record. The transcript is spliced from 2 exons.